Pelobates cultripes (western spadefoot toad) is the source of this 502-nucleotide non-coding RNA. The record is from the annotation of a GenBank genome assembly. NCBI's taxonomy places the organism in Eukaryota, Metazoa, Chordata, Amphibia, Anura, Pelobatidae.
GUGCAGACAGUUAUUGCUUGACAUUUGUGCAUGCAUAUCAAGGUAUCUAGAGUCAUGUCUUCGGUGUCUCUUUGUAUGUGGUGACUAUUUGGAUGCAUACUCAGAGAUCAACCCUGUUUUUUCCCCCUGUGUAUGCAGCGGGGAAUAGGACUGCUCUUUGUCGCGGGCUCCGUUGGUCGUGGGCCUGGAAUAGAGCUUUCAAUUACCCAGGGCCUGUCUGUGUCCUUAUUUGUGUCAGGGAGAUUCAUUUUGUGUGUGUGGUCUGUGUGUAGUUUUAAGGUCUGUUCGGCUUAGGUGUGCGAGUUGUAGGUCUCCCUUGGGUUGCGGUGUGUGUUCCCCUGACUGUCAGGCAUUGGUUGUAGGUCCUUAGUGUAUGUGCCAAGUGUAAUCUCGGGGCUUGUAUGUCUCUGAGUGUGUAGGUGCCUUCGGGGCCUCGGGGGUGUAUUGCCAGGUCUCCCUGCCUCUUGGUCCUGUUUGUUCCUCAUGUAUGUGCAUAUUGUCA